Monodelphis domestica (gray short-tailed opossum) is the source of this 2485-nucleotide long non-coding RNA. RefSeq lists it as uncharacterized. Lineage: Eukaryota; Metazoa; Chordata; Mammalia; Didelphimorphia; Didelphidae. The record is from RefSeq and is a predicted model, not a curated record.
UUGUAUUAGAUGGCCUCAAAUGUCCCUUCCAGUUAUGCAUUGUAGCAUAAGGAUGACUAUAUGGCAGGGGUCCCCAAAGUAUGGCCCACGGGCCACAUGCAGCCCCCCAAGGCCAUUUAUCCAACCCCUAUCACACAACUUCCGGAAGGGGAACCUCUUUCAUUGGUGGUCAGUGAGAGGAGCACUCUAUGUGGUGGCACCGCAAAGUGUGGCAUCACUCACAUACAGUACUACUUCCGGUGACAUAAUCCUUUGUGUGGCGCCUUGUUCUGAGAGUAAAUGAAUGAGAACGAGGUGCCAAGCAAAGGAUUAUGUGGCUGCACAAUGGAAGAUGUCAGGAUGGUGAGUGGAGAUCUGGGGGAGGGGAUUCCGCACUGUGUAUACUGCUGCCCGGUAUAGUGGUGGCGGUGAUGGGCCUGUGCAAGGUGUGACAGACCCAACACAGCGAGCACUGCAGCCUCCGCUAUCCCAGAUAGCAGUCCACAGUGUCACAGGCUCAGCACCACCUUCAGUAGUGUGCAUAGGGAUUUGUUCAGUUUGCUGUUGUGUUUUAAUAGUCCAGACCUCCAAUGAUCUAAGGGACAGUGAACUGGCCCCCUGUGUAAAAAGUUUGGGAACCCCUAUAGUAUAUGGGACCAUAUUAGAUGUCUCAGAACCCUUGUCCAUGUUAGUAUUAUCAGUCAAGUUUUCUUUAGUCACCUCCCCACCCAUUAUUUCAAUCCCCUUUCCCAUGUUCUCUUUCUCUCAUCAUGUAUUCUUGGCAUAUUUCAGUAAGUAUUGGAAUUUAUAUGAAUAAAGCCUCAUGAAUAAAGUUAUCAAGUACCAAAGUGUUAACUGCUUUCUGGCUCAUUAUAAUCCUGGCCCCUGUCUCAAUGUAAGUCUCUGCCUAUCCAAAAGCUAUAAGAGCCACAUAAAGUGGAGGGAGAGUCUGCCAUAAAUUUGAAAGUUCCAGCGGUGUGUUAUUCCAGUAUGUGGUCAUAUUAAAGAUGGUACCUGUAGUAUCAUUUAUCAUGACCACUAUAGCGUUGUAUAUGAAGCAGUAUCCCCAGUAGGCCGUUAUAGACCCAAUCACCAUCAUCCAAAACACUACUUGAAACAUACUUCUUUCUUGUUCUAACUAUCCCUGUUUCUUAUUUACUGUUGCUCUUCUUUACUUAGAAUCAAGAUGUCUGAUUCUAAGUAGUAACUGCCUAAGAACUGCUUCUCAAGAUGGCUGCUCUGCCCAGGGAACUUCAACUGUCAAAAAAUGGCAGUUGACAAUGGCUUCUUCCAACCCUCUGGGGUGCCACUUGUAAUAAUAGGGGUAUUGAGAGAGAAGAGAGGGAAAGAAUGGAGUCUUCCCUCCCUCAAGGCAAGGACAAAGGAGGAGGAGAUGAUAUUAUGGUUAAGCCAAGAGACAGAAGGUGGAGUUCCAAACCUUCUCUCUAUGCCCAGCCCCUGCUGCUGAUAGAAUCCUUGCAGUUCUACCAGGCCUUCCUUCCAAACGGCUCUGAAUUUUCUCUCUCACACAGGCAAUGGGGAAUUAAUGAAGUUUUGUGAGGCCCUUUCUUCAAAAUUGUAAUGUUAUAUUGCUGCUGGAGUGUCUGUUUUGUAACUAGCACAGAAAUAAAUGUACAAAAUAGUCAAAUAUAUAUUCUUUAUUUUAAUCUCGAUGCAUCCUAUUAGGAUAACUGUACACUUUCCCUUCAUAUAAAAAUAAUAUAGCCUUUCUAAGCUCUUUUGCCCACUCUAUCAAUAUGACUGAAGAUAUAUUUCAUAUAGAUAUACAAAAAUCUGUGUAAUCUGAAUCAAUAAAUUAUCUGGUAUAAGGAACUCCCAGAUGAGGAAAGUAAUUCUACCAGUGUAAGUCUCUAUCUUUUUUCAAAUUGAUAGUCUUAAAGAGUUACUUAGAUCUGUCCCAGAGUUAGUAUGUGUCAGAGGCAAAAUUUGAAUGGAGGUCUCCCUGACAGCAGGACUAGCUUUCUAUCCAUUCUAUAAUAUUUUCUACUAUACCAUGUUGCCCUCCCUAUUUAACAUGAACAAACUCCCCUUUUCAGUAGUUCAUUUAUAACAGAGGUUCUUGACUUGGGGUUCAUGUACUAUCAAAGGGUACAUGGAUAAAUUUCAAGGAUCAAUGUAAACAAAAAAUAUUAUAUCAAGGAGUCCAUAGGUUCCAUCAGUCUGCCACAAGGGUCUAUGACAUAAAAGGGGUUAAGAAAUCCAAAUAUAUUCAAUAAAUAGUCCAUGGCUUAUGAAUAUCAGACAUCAAUAACUCCUAAGGGCAGGUAGGUGGCUAAGUAGAUAGAGAGCCAGGUCUAGUGAUUGGAGGUCCUGGGUUCAAAUCUGAUCUCAGACACUGGAUGAAUGAUCUUGGGCAAGGACGUUUAGCACAAUUGCCUGGCCCUUACUAUACUUCUUUCUUUUAAAUGAUAUUUAGUAUUGAUUCUAAGACAGAAAGGAAGGGUUUAAACAAAAUAAAUGACUCACAAAAAUUUUUAGCCUCUUA